Acipenser ruthenus (sterlet) is the source of this 3853-nucleotide long non-coding RNA. RefSeq lists it as uncharacterized. NCBI's taxonomy places the organism in Eukaryota, Metazoa, Chordata, Actinopteri, Acipenseriformes, Acipenseridae. The record is from RefSeq and is a predicted model, not a curated record. The transcript has 4 exons.
CAAACAUGUUUAAUUUUGUAACUAAUUUAGGUUGAGAAAUUGCGUAAUACAUUUAUUGGAAAUAAUAAUAAUAAUAAUAAUAAUAAUAAUAAUAAUAAUAAUAAUAAUAAUAAUAAUAAUAAUAAUGUAUAUGAAUACAGCUCUACUAAAAUGAAAGUAGAUACAGUUCACAACAGUCUACAUGUCAUCAGCACAAACGUGCGCUAUUGUACUGCGACAUACGCAUAUUUGGAAAUAGGGUUUUACACUCCCGGAGCGAACAGUAGAAUGGCAUUCAAGCAACUGAGUAAUGACUCUAACACAGCUCAGUAACUGUCGUUGGCUUUCACAGGAAUUAGCUGUCUUAAGGGUUGGUUGGGCAUUCAUACAACUGGGAUGCGUGCUUAAGAUAUUUAUACUGACAGCUAGGCUACAGUGAAAUACAUGUAAGUUGCAAACCAAAGGAGCCGUUGCUGUCACAUAGCACACCAACAUGAUGAGAUUAACACAAACUUCAACAAAUCAUAUCGUACUACAUGAUGCAUCUUUACUAAGCAGACUCAGCGGAGGUUGAGGUGGUGGAUCCAGUGGUGUCAAGGGUACAUGGGUCAGCGGCGUUGUUGGAUGGAAGAGAAGAAGCAGGACGGACAGAUUUCUUCAAAAAUGUUUUGCUUGGAUUUUGAGUUGAAGGAUGUCCUGAAGGAGAAAUGCAGUCCCCAUUUGAGAAUUCAGAUUCCAAAAAGAAAGAAAAGUGCAGCGGCCUCCCUUCCUCCUCCACUUUGCUGCGCCAUCCCUGCAACGAUCUCCCUCUGAAGGUAAUUGAAGUUUGCUUCCCAACCGUAGACCCAGCCGCGCAGGCCUUGUAUAAGAACAAACACAAAGGACAUGGAUAUAUGUUACCCCAUUGACCUCUCCAGGGGAAUAUGAAGAAGUGAUUUCAUGUUAAUAUAUGUUUUAUUAUUGCAAUGUAUGGUUUAUACUGUAAAGAAGAGUCUCCUUGCAUAAUUAGUCAUAAUUUCUAGUACAGGCUUACAGUAUACGCAGCCAAGCGUAUCACAAUAAUGAAGCAGUUCAGGAGAUCCCCUUAAAAAUGAGACAUGUUAGUAUAGUAAUAUCCUGGUAUGUAUGAGUUUGGUUCAGUAGCAUUGAACUGGGGAGCCCUCCUAUUUUGAAGUCUUUGGACUGCUGCGCUUACCAACAAAAUAACAAGUCUUUAGCCGGCUCCCUGCUGUGCCACUAUCUCAUUUUCCAAUUUUAUAACACAAAUUAGAUUGUUUAAGAGCAUAUGCAUACUGGAAUAGUAAUACUGGAGGCAACCAAGGACAAAGACAGUGUAGAAUUGUUCUAUAUUUGUGUUUUUUUAACAGCAAAUAAAAACCAUGCUCCUUUCCAUGGAAAUGCACGUAGAGCAUAGUGAAAUUGCUACCUAACUGUAUAUUCAUGCUUUUGACAGAAUAAGACGUGUGUAAAAAACUGGGGACAUUUUAAAAAGUACAUUUCUAUAGGAAUGUAUACACAAGGGUGUAGUACCACCAUGGGCAUAUGGGGCUGAUAAGUCUGCUAGAGAUACCUGAUCAUUCUACCUCUUAUUAUUAGUCUUAGUAUCUGUAUGCCAGAUUGUUUUUCAUCCAUCGGACCUACAGUACACAAUAACUAGUGUUCCGCAUUUCAGGUUUAUUCCAAAUUUUACUGAAAAAUUACAGGAUAGACGUCGGUUUUUACUGAUUUAUACCCCUAUUUUUUGUCUAUUAUUCAAUAUUUCCCCAGUACUAUUUUCUAGGAAAUACACACUAUUUUAAUUAAAAUGCAGUUUUAUUUUGACUCCGACAUUGUAAUAAGCAGCCCUACACUAGGAUACAGCAGACGUCAAUUUUCUUUUAUAUUUAUGAUUUCAAUGCGAAUAAACUUGGCUUGUCAUGUUCAUACCUUCUGUAGAUACUACUUCCGUCAGUACCAGCUAACUUGGGAAAAUGUGGCUUCGACUUGCACAGAUUCUGCUUCAUGUCCCCCAAUGCCAGGGACAUUAAAACCAUCAGAAACCAGAACUGCUACGCAUCAUAUGUAAAGUGUGUAUACUGAGAUUUUUUCUCCACGAUUCUUACCGAUGUUUCAAUUUAAAACAAUUUUUUUUUACCGAUUUUAUCCCUAUUUUAAUAUAUGUAAAAAAACUCUGAAAAAUUCCCGGAAUUAUUUUUUAAAGAUAAAAAACCAAAACGCAGAACACUGACAAUAACUUACAGCACUUUUUGAGUUUUGCAGAUAUCCAGAGAACUGCUUGUCUAGUUGUAAUGAAACCGGAUAAGGACCUUCUUUAGAACAAGUUCUAUAUCAUAAUCUGUGGAUAUAUGGAGGUUGUUUAUCUGUUCUUCUAGCUGUUUAUCUGUAUGUUUGGAUAGAGAUCAUAUUAAUCAACGUUUCAAGGUACUAUUGUCUCUAAUUUUAAAUUUACAGCCGUGGUUGUUCAGGUAAAUUGUUAAUGGAAGUCUGUAGCAAAGCUUCCAGAAUGGAGUGUUCACUUUAGAGACAUGAAAUACAAGGCUUUAUUCAGUCUUACAAAAUGAACUGCCAAAGGAGUGCUUUCUAUCAUCUCUUUAUGGUCUGGUCUACUUUCUCCAUUAUGACUGACUUGCAACAAGAUGGUGCAUCUUUAUUAUAGAAUACAUGCCAGGGAUAUCAUUUGACAAACAAAUGAAUCAGUCAUGUAAGCAACAGUGUGCAUGUGUUACUAUUUUAUUUUUGAUCAAUCCCUGUUACAAUUCAAGUGUUACAGUAUACCUAUAAUUUUAAUUACAAAAUAAUAACUGACUGUAUGAGUGAAAAAAACGAAAGAUCGUCUGUAUUCCUGCUUUUGUUUUCAGUGCUUGUACACUUGUUGGUUCUCAGGCUAUUCCAAUGAAUGUUUUUCCUUGUUCUUUACAUAUUGUUGGAAUGCAGAUAUAGUUUUAAUACACUGAUGCUCCUGACUUAGUUCCAGAACACAAACCCCUGCAGCUACUGUGGGUUGUUAUACAAUGGUAGAGUUCUUUUCAUUCUCUCAGUGUUUCUUAGAUUAUUCCAGAAUCUGCAUAACUUCCUAACGUGGAGCUUUCAAUAAGCCAUUUAUCGUGUGAUUUAUCUUGAGAUAUCUUACUUUUUCAGGGCAGCAAGGCAACCAAAAGCAUAGUUUUAAUAUUACAAAUACAGACUUGCAUUCUACUGAAAAUCCAAACACCCCGUUUCAAAGUAAGUGCUCAGGCAAAGGCACAUUUUCUUUGAGGAAUAGAACAAUACAGUAGUUUAUAGCAAGUUGCAUUCAUUUUAGAAAUACUAAAUAUGAACGGUGUCUCUAUCAGGGCAGAAUAGCCCUAUGUGUAAAAAGGGGCCAGGCCAAAGUCUGCUGAUUAAAUGGGUUGCGUUUAUUGUAUUAUGAUUUAAAAUGUAUUGUUUGUUUUAUUUUAGAAUGGGUGAUUUAAUGUAUUGUUUUGUGGGUAUUUAAAAUAAUGGUUUGUGUAUUGUUUUAGUGUGAUUAUUUCUGUGUUUAGUUAAAAAUGCAAUGUUUUUGUUUGUUAUUGUUUUGCAGUGUGGAUGGGGUUAAAGCCUCCUCCCACUAAACCCGCGCAAAAGGUGACCAUCUCCAGAUAAAUUAAUUGAUUAAUUUAUUGCUAAUCUGGAGAUGGUCACCAGUAUAAAAGCCUGCAGCUUUUCUUGUUCAGUGUGGGUGUUCAGAAGGAGGAACGUGGGCGAGCGAGCGAAAAUCUAAAACAAAAGUAAAAAGAAAAGAAAAGAAAACAAUUGCUACUCGUAGUGUAAAACACCAGCACGGUACUUGUUUGUGUUUAUGAUAUGUUAUUGUCAAACUUUUAUUUUGCUCUGUUUUUUUUUUAUAUAUUUAUUU